AUCACAGGUUUCCAUCUUUACUGACCAGACAUCACCAUUGCAAUCUCCAUUGCCACCCAGCAUCUGAGAAAACUUUGCCCUGAAAGUCCAGAUUGGGAUUCAGUAAAGAAGAAAAAUGAGAAAACAUGUUUUGCUGUGCAUAACCCACAACUCAGCGGUAAAAAAAGCAGAGGCAAGUGUCUAUCCCGUGGAAGUAAGUACAGAGGGAGAGGUGGAAGAGAAGUACAGCAAAGAAACCCUAUGCAGCACACAGAGCUCUGCACUGCAUUCCCUUUUGUACUACAGAACCUUGUUUCAAGAGAGAGUCUCAACAUGAAGAAUGACAAAUCAUCUCAAAUCAUACUUAGUCUUUAGAAAUUACUUACAACAAGUCAAUGCCCCCGACAAUAAAAGAAAGCAUUUAAUGUGGCAGACCAUGAUGUAAGGAAGCAAUAAAAGGGAAACGCAGCUUGAACUGUCAUACUGCCGAGUAACUCACAUCUCCCUGCUGAAGGCAGCAAAGUUGCAGUUACUGAAUGGCUAAUCUCUUCUACUGUUUUUUAAUCAGAUGUUGGCAUUAUCUGCCACUAAUUGCUUUUUCAUUUCCACUUGUAAUUAUUCCAUUGCAUGUUUGUGGUGAGAAGCUGAAAAUGAAGCAGAUCACCAAGAAAGAAUUAAUUGUUAAUGAAUAAUCAUCAGUAGGAAGCCAAUUUCAUUAUCUUCAAAGAGGUAGCUAGAGAUUAACUACUGACUGCGGUUCUCCUACGUUCAGUGCAUGACUGUAAAGUAAUCACAAAUAAUCACACCCUCCAACUUCAUCAAUUAGUUUCUAUUAUGUGAAUUGAUACCCAUUUUUGGUUUUGUUGUUUAAUGUUAAUGGUAGUAUUCAAACUGGGGAGUGCUAAUUGGAAGGUGUUGUAUUCAGCAGUCUUAGACCCUAAUUAUUAGAGCAUCUUUUUCAUUAGCAUAUGAUUCUAGAAGGGAUAUAUGGUGGUAGUUGCUAAAUUCACCUUGUUAUAAAUGCAUUAACUUUAUCAAUAUAUUUUAGACUGUCACUUAAAAUAGAAUGAUACAUACAAAGCUACUUUGUCAGUAAUGCACAGCAGUAGGUCAGUUUAUAAAACGUGUCAUCAUUAACUGUUUUUUGAGAAAUUCUCCUUAAAUCAAGACGUCAAAAGCAAAGGCUGCUUGGGAUUUAAGCAAUGGGUAUAAUAGAGUGAAAGUCUGAAAGAAAUCAACUAGAGUAAAAAACCUGUUAGAUACUAAGCAGAAGUUUAAAAAAAAACACAUUUGCCUUUUCGUUAUCGCAGAGAUUGAUGUCCAGUGAGAACCGUUGACUAUCAGCCUUCCAUUCUUCUUUGCUACUGAUUUCAAUUCAGUCCUCUGUGAUACCAACAGCAACUGUAAAGAAUAGCUCUCCUAAUGUUUUUAGAUGAAUUCUGUAUUACACUUGUAUAAUAUUAAUGGAAAAAGAAUAAAAUAAAUAACGCCACCUGUGGGAUAAAUUCAACCUCCCUGUACUGCUGCCCUCAAUGAAGCCUCCAAUCUUCUCCAUGUGUGGAUAUCUGAUAGCAGUGUAAAUACUGUCUGUAU
Molecule: long non-coding RNA, 1572 nt
Organism: Lepidothrix coronata (blue-crowned manakin)
Lineage: Eukaryota; Metazoa; Chordata; Aves; Passeriformes; Pipridae
Exons: 3
Source: RefSeq, a predicted model, not a curated record